This 406-nucleotide ribosomal RNA is filed under the name uncultured bacterium. RNAcentral's name for it is "partial 16S ribosomal RNA". It matches the Rfam family "Bacterial small subunit ribosomal RNA", at positions 30 to 526 of the family's 1533-position model. The record is from RNAcentral.
AUUGAACGCUGGCGGCAGGCCUAACACAUGCAAGUCGAACGAGUGGCGGACGGGUGAGUAAUGUGUGGGAAACUGCCCGAUGGAGGGGGAUAACUACUGGAAACGGUAGCUAAUCCCGCAUACCAUCGGAUGUUCCCAGAUGGGAUUAGCUAGUAGGUGGGGUAAUGGCUCACCAAGGCGACGAUGCAUAGCUGGUCUGAGAGGAUGAACAGCCACACUGGAACUGAGACACGGUCCAGACUCCUACGGGAGGCAGCAGUGGGGAAUAUUGCGCAAUGGGCGAAAGCCUGAUGCAGCCAUGCCGCGUGUAUGAAGAAGGCCUUCGGUUUGUAAAGUACUUUUAGCGGGGAGGCGUUACCCGCACAAGAAGCACCGGCUAACUCCGUGCCAGCAGCCGCGGUAAUAC